Long non-coding RNA from Mytilus trossulus (common blue mussel), 1279 nucleotides. RefSeq lists it as uncharacterized. The transcript has 5 exons. NCBI's taxonomy places the organism in Eukaryota, Metazoa, Mollusca, Bivalvia, Mytilida, Mytilidae. The record is from RefSeq and is a predicted model, not a curated record.
CCAUACGGUCUAACAAAUGUCUUAUAGAAGCAAUAAUAAGUGUCAUAAUCCGUACUUCCCCAGCAUAACUGUAAGACGUUACCGCAUCCGUUUUAACUUUUAUAUGGUUUUAUAAGGGAAGCUGAGCAAGCCUGUCGCCAUUAUCACGAAGACCAGUAAUGACAGUAUAUUGACAGGAAAAAAACAGAUAAAUAGUGAAUACAGUUAUAAAUUAUAUAAAUUAUACUAUAAAUUAGAAUUCAGUCGACAAUAACACCUUGAUGAUCGAGAUUGCUUAGUCUGCAUAGUGGGGAUAUAGUUUCGUGAAAUCGAUAAAAUGCCUUUGGUUAGGAAAAGAGGCAGACAUUAUGCCCAUGUUACAUAUGAAAGAGGUACAGAUGCCCUUAAAGUUUUUGAUGAAGUAAAGAGCAAGAUACUGUCCCAUCUGGCAGCAAUACUGUAUGACACUGUAUGACCAAUUCACAGACAAUUUGACAAAGAAUAACAAUAGAACACCAACAAUUCACAUAUGAGACGAUGUUUUAUGGUGAAUGGUUAUAGUAAUUUAGACAAGCAAAACAUGCAUUAAAGACUGUCAGUGUUGCUUGGAUUUUCUCCAUAUGGUCAUUUAAGAAGAAAAUUGAUAGAGGAAAGAUACAGAUAUGCAAGAAUUUAAUAUUUGAAAUGCACUUAAUAUUUCUUUUGUAUAUGACCAUUAAAUUUUGGCAGUCAUUGUUAUCUCUGCUAUACAAACAAAUAUAUCUUGUAAAAUUUAUUCAUAAGAGGAAGCUUUAAUAACAAAUAUCUAACCACAUUAGAUAUUGUUUAUGCCCCAACUACAAUAGUAGAGGGGCAUUAUGUUUUCUGGUCUAUGUGUCCAUUCGUCCGCCCCUUUGUCCGUCUGUCCCUCUCCAGGUUAAAGUUUUUGGUCAAGGUAUUUUUUGAUAAAGUUGAAGUGAAAUCAACUUAGAACACAUAUUCCCUAUGAUAUUAUCUUUCUAACUUUAAUGCCAAAUUAGAUUUUUGAUCCCAUUUCACUGUCCACUGAACAUAAAAUAAUAGUGUGAGUGGGGCAUCCUUGUACUUAAUGGACACAUUCAUGUUUGCCAAUUUUUUAAUUAGUCUAAAACAAAUCUAAUUUUUUUUAUUCUGUGGGAUUCAAAAGAUUUUGUCAUUUGUGAUAAUUAUUUAUUUUGAAGUCUGAGAACAUUUCAUACAAAUUUCAAAUUCUAAAUAAGACAUCUAUACAGCACAUACUCCAUCAUAAAUUGUGUUAAUGAUAAUGUUGACUAUAUAUAUA